UACGUAGGGGGCAAGCGUUGUCCGGAUUUAUUGGGCGUAAAGAGCGUGUAGGCGGCCAGGUAGGUCCGUUGUGAAAACUCGAGGCUCAACCUCGAGCUGUCGAUGGAAACCAUCUGGCUAGAGUCCGGAAGAGGAGAGUGGAAUUCCCGGUGUAGCGGUGAAAUGCGCAGAUAUCGGGAAGAACACCCGUGGCGAAGGCGGCUCUCUGGGACGGUACUGACGCUGAGACGCGAAAGCGUGGGGAGCGAACGGG
RNAcentral lists this ribosomal RNA (253 nucleotides) under uncultured bacterium. RNAcentral's name for it is "partial 16S ribosomal RNA". It matches the Rfam family "Bacterial small subunit ribosomal RNA", at positions 524 to 776 of the family's 1533-position model. The record is from RNAcentral.